GGGUUUGAGGAAAGUAAAGAAAUUAGGUGAGUACUCCCCUUGACAGGAACGGAAAAAAUUCUGGUGACCUAACACCACAUGCGUUCAUUUAAGAUUUCACCACCUCUUUGUCGCCCUCUAACAAUAUGUUUUU
Molecule: small nuclear RNA, 133 nt
Organism: Catagonus wagneri (Chacoan peccary)
Lineage: Eukaryota; Metazoa; Chordata; Mammalia; Artiodactyla; Tayassuidae
Source: Ensembl